AUGCAAUUACACCAAGACAUCUUACUAUGCAAAACUUGUUUGCAAGUGUCGAGGGAUCCAUCCGUUGGAGGUGAUCAAACUAGAGAUGCUUAUUGGCUUCGGAUGAAGGAACACUUUGAUGUUCGCAACGAGAGUGGAAUGGACCGCUCCGAUCGAUCUCUUCGCUCCCGGUGGUCGACAAUCAACAAGGAUUGUCAAAAGUGGGCGGCCGCACAAAAGGCGGUUGACAAGUUGACCCCAAGUGGCACUAAUGAGGACGAUAGAUACAAUAUUCCACAAAACCUGUUCAAAGGAGAGGAGAAGAGGACCAAGAAGGGGAAGAUCAAGAAAGGAAGUCCAUUUACCUUGCCUCAUUGCUUUGACGUUUUGAAGGAUGAUGAGAAAUGGAAGAAGCAUGAUGAUAUAGAUGAUUUGGAUUUGAGCGACAAAUGCAAGCGAACAAUUGAGUUGGAUGAUGAUGAUGAGGAGGAGGCAUCAAGUUAUGAUGGCAAGAGAAGCCCUACACCCAACUCGGUUUCAUAG
RNAcentral lists this ribosomal RNA (522 nucleotides) under Triticum aestivum (bread wheat). RNAcentral describes it as "partial small subunit ribosomal RNA". Lineage: Eukaryota; Viridiplantae; Streptophyta; Magnoliopsida; Poales; Poaceae. The record is from RNAcentral.